GACGAACGCUGGCGGCGUGCCUAAUACAUGCAAGUCGAGCGGACUGAAUGGGAGCUUGCUCUUGUUCGGUCAGCGGCGGACGGGUGAGUAACACGUGGGCAACCUGCCCGCAAGACCGGGAUAACUCCGGGAAACCGGAGCUAAUACCGGAUAACACCGAAGACCGCAUGGUCUUUGGUUGAAAGGCGGCGCAAGCUGCCACUUGCGGAUGGGCCCGCGGCGCAUUAGCUAGUUGGUGAGGUAACGGCUCACCAAGGCGACGAUGCGUAGCCGGCCUGGGAGGGUGACCGGCCACACUGGGACUGAGACACGGCCCAGGCUCCUACGGGAGGCAGCAGUAGGGAAUCUUCCGCAAGAGGCGAAAGCCUGACGGAGCGACGCCGCGGGAGCGAAGAAGGCCGUCGGGUCGGAAAGCUCUGUUGUGAGGGACGAAGGAGCGCCGUUUGAAGAAGGCGGCGCGGUGACGGUACCUCACGAGGAAGCCCCGGCUAACUACGUG
RNAcentral lists this ribosomal RNA (499 nucleotides) under uncultured bacterium. Its description in RNAcentral is "partial 16S ribosomal RNA". It matches the Rfam family "Bacterial small subunit ribosomal RNA", at positions 28 to 507 of the family's 1533-position model. The record is from RNAcentral.